This 6682-nucleotide long non-coding RNA is filed under the name Sus scrofa (pig). RNAcentral describes it as "lncRNA (ENSSSCG00030030742.1)". The record is from RNAcentral. Lineage: Eukaryota; Metazoa; Chordata; Mammalia; Artiodactyla; Suidae.
AUGGAUCUGAGAACGCUGUCUGGGCUUGGUGCCAAGUGCUGGUAUUUCACAGCAGCGACCGCCUCACAGACGGGCUGUGGGAAGCAGGAGGGAGACUCUCUUAGGGUGCCACUACUAUGGAGACACAGCUGGGCUGAACAAGAUUUGCUUCAAACGACAACAAGAGAGACAGAAAGUAUCUGGUUCAACCGCUGCCCAGGCAGGCAGGCACCAGAAGAGCUAGCAGCCAAUCCGGCCAUGCUCGAAGCCAGCUCUGCAGCUCAGCCAAUCAGUGACAUCACUGAUCUUUUGGAAUAUUACUGGGAUAACUGUCCAAAUGAAGUUCCAAGUACUCUAUACAAAUGUCUACAGAUGCACGGCUGGUGGUGUGGCUCAGACGGAGCAAGGGUUACAUCAAGGCUGUUCUCUGGACCGUGCAAACAGUCUAGACCAAUGACCUGCAGCAUCAUGCCCUUUGAAGAAGAGGCAAGUUCGGUCAUGAUGAAGAAAAAUCAAGGCGUACCCCCUUUAACAAUAGGGAGCAGCUCGAGGCUGCAAAGAGGUAAGCAGGGUACGAAGAAAACGGCAUCUGCUUCCAUGGUUACAGGCCAACUAUGAGAACCUUGCUUUUCAAGGGAGUCUGUUCUCAGGCUCCCUCACGGGGUAUGUCAUGCAUUAUAAGCAAAGGCAGGUUGAGUUGAAAUCCGCAUAGUUAUUUCAGAGUAAAAUGAUACGGAGCACAUGGCUGGCAAAAAAAAAAAAAAGUCACAUGACUGUUAAGAACCAGACUUGGACUAUUUCAGAAUAGAAUUUUUUUUCUUAUGCCAGUUUAAAUAAAGCGAGUAAAUUUGUAUAAAACAAACAGUGAUGAUAAAUAUGAUUUUCAUUUCUCAGGCUGUCUGUGAGCAGAGGUCAAGGGUCAAGAUAAUACCCCUCAUCCUGUGGCAGGACCAUACAUACAGCCUAUUGUUAAGAUAACUUUAUGAUGAAUAUGCCUAUUUUUGCCAGACUGUAAGACAGAAUAUAUGUUCUUGUGAAUCUCUCUCUCUCUCUCUGACGUGAUUCUCUUUGAUUUCCUGCUCUGGAUCUUCCCAGGUUUAUGUUCAUUUCCAUGGUCAGUUCUCAUGAGGGGAGGUAGGAGGUUUGGUGAGAAACUUUCUUGGUGUGGAAGUGAAAGCUAAGGAAGGGUGGAGUGUCCUCUGCCUUUUGAAAUAUACUUAUAUUGAAUUCAAAUCUAUGUCAAAAUCAUUAGUCUCUGACAGUAAUUCUGUUUCUAAUUCAUAUAUGUAUAUCUUAUUCAUUGUUUGAUAUAUCGGUCCCAUAGCUUUUUUUCUUUUUUGUGGGAUAUUUAGUUAUUAAACUUGGAUUUUUUGAUAUGAUACACUAGCAGCUAACACUAUGGAAUAAAAAUUUGACAAAUAUAAAAUGCAGCAUAUACUGUAAUAUUUAGUAUCAUCUACUGUAAUAAUUUUGAAAAAUGCAGAUAUGAAUGAUUAACAUAGGUAAAACAUUCUUCUUACAAUGUACCAUAUCUGAAUACUAGAAGAGCUCAUAUUUGGUUUUCUUCCAAUGAUAUACAACUAACUCUAGAUGUACCACGCAGUUUAUCCUUUGAGCAAUUUUUGAUUGCAAGCAUAUUAUUAAAAUUAGGGAACAAAAAAGGAAAGACGGUUCCAGAGGGCAAGGUAUAAAACAACUUUCAUUACAUUUAUUUUUCAGAAGCUAUGUAUGUCGCUAUAAAAUGAACACCAACCAUAUGGCCCUGUGUAUGUAGCUAUUAAUUACAAAUACUUACCUCAAAGGAAAAUUACCUUGUAGCUUUACAAAUGCGAUUAAGUGUUGCUGCCCAUGAUAGCAACAAUUUUGUGCUCUCAAUCCAAAAUCAGAAGGUAAUUUUCUGAUGUGCUCCUCCAUACUGAUGCUGUAUGUUGAGCUAGGUUCAUGGCUAGAGGUAUGCAAGUGGUUUUGUUUCUUUCAGUGUGAUGAGAUGCAUUCAUUUCUGUGCUUGCAUAGAGAGGAUAGCAUAUAAGGUAAAAAUUGAACUACUGAAGUGUUGCUAUUUUAGUAUAUAAUAAUCCAUACACUAUUAGAAGCAAUGUCAUGUUAUAGUUUCUUUAAAUAAUUUACGUACUGUUAAGAUAAUUCAACAUCAGUUUCUUUCAUGAGACAACAGAUCAUACUUGCUGCCAAAGGUCAAAUGCCAGCUAUUUCUUUUGUGGAAAAGCUACCUCUCAAUUCUCCAAAGGAAAAACAAAACAAAAGCAAAUGCACUUAGGUUUACAUAUUGCAUGAUAAUUUGUGGCUUGUGGUUAAAGAAAAAAGAGGCCAUUACAUGAAAUUUGUUGCAAAAUAGAUGGCUGGAUUCUUGGGGUUUUUGUUUGUCUGUUUUUUCAGUUAACAUUUAACCAUUAGUCUUGCUCUUUUGUUUUUCAAAACAUAUUCAAUUUUAUAAAUAUUUAUGUGUGUACACAAAUUGCACUAACUUGCCAAAUGUGGAUAUAUGCUAAACACUUGAGACAUUCUCAUAGACUCAGAUUGGUGGUUAUUAAAAUGCUAUUAUUUUAACACAUUAAUAUGCAGGUAGAUAUUUAGUAUUGAGUAUUUAGAGGGGAAAACAACAGCUUCUUUCCUUAAGAAAAGUUCUCUAUAUCUGAGGUAAUAAAUAGCUGUGUGAUAUAUCCAUACUACAUAUAGUUUGCAUCAAAAACUCCACUCAAAUAACAAGAUGUGUUAGAUUUAAACAUUCUUUAGAAUUAUACUUUAGAAUAAUUAAUUAUACUUUGCUCUCCCUGUGGCAAAUUUUUUAAAAAAAGAACUAAAAUUGGCCUUGCCUACUGGAGACUUACUCAUAUAACUAAGAUAAAAGGAUUACAAUUUUCAGUGCCUUGGUGUCUGAUAGUGCUUUGAGUAUAGUAGAUGCUCAGUAAAAUAUCUCUCAAAUAAAUAAACCUGUAUUUGCAUCAAAGCAUUAAUUAUCUAAAUAUAAUUCAAUCUCAUGAAAUGUAGGGCAGAAUCUUCUCUUCUUACUUGUAUAUCUUUCUUUACCUUUUUCUUAUGACCUUUCUAUACAAAUAAGUACUUUUUGUUAGUGAUCUGUGAUUGCUGAAUACCAACUACGUGUCUAGUGAGACUAGAAGUGUGUAACCAGAGCCACAUUUUCCAAAUGGGAUUCUAUGAAACACUAUUAUUCUGAAAGAUGCUGCUAGGUGUUCUGGGACAAAAAGAAAAAAUCCAGUGGUCAAAUAUGAGAGAGGUGCUAUAGUAAACAAUGUUAAAUAGAUUUGUCAUAUGAAAUACUUUUCAGGGCAUUCAAAAAACUAAGUAUGUAGUGUUGUCUCUAAGAGGGGUGUAUACUUGGCACUACUUUCCAAAGUUAUCAUUUUUUCAUAAAAUACCUAUUAACUUAUAUGCAUGUAUGCACUUACUUGCUUUUUUUCAUACAGUGUUUAUCAACUUAAUAUGACAUAAUUUCAAUGAUAUGCUGAAGCUGGCUAAAACCAGUCUGGAUGAGUCAAUUAUAACUAUUCUUUCCUAAAUUCCAUUUUGAAGAGGCAUCAUUUUCUUGCUUGAAAUGAGCUAUGGCAGGAGUAUUUGCUCCCUAGAAAUCAGCAAAGACUAUAAAUCAAAGCUCCCCCCAGCCUUUGUGUCAGAACUGGUUGUUAAACAUUUACCAGCACACCAUUAUCUAAAUCCUCUCUCACUCCAUCUUUGUAGGUAAGUUAUGACCACUAACAGGUCAAUAUAUUCAGAAAUUUUUUAUUUAUCAACCUGUCUAAAACAUAAAACUAUUUAAAUCAAUUAUGAAUUCUAUACCUAGAAGAGAGGGACAGCAAUGGAGAAUAAGAAAGACCGAUUUUUCUAAGCUUUUAUGUCAACAAGUAGUAUAGUUUAUCUUUCUGACUUCCCUAAUUUACCUGAUUAAACAUCUAUAUUUAUUCCUUUAUCUUUUUUUCUAACAAAAUAUUUAUAUAUUCUGGUAUAUAAUUGUCUACAUUUCUAAGUGAGUUCCUGACAACAGAUUUCUGAAAAUUGCUGGACAGUUUUUAAAUAUGUCUUUAACUUAGACUCACUUCAUUAUCAUCAAAUUUUUAUGAAACUGAGAUGAGGUAUCAAGAAAUAAUUUAUGCUUUUGUAUUGCAUGUCAUUUAAUUUCAGGCAUUUUAUCAAUUGUAUUAACUCUUUUGACCUCUUGGGUGAGAUUAUUAGGAGGACAUAAAAAUGGAAAAUCUGUGAGUAGAGAAAUCAAAAUAUGCAUUUUUGAGAGACAAGCCCCUUGGUUCCCAUUUAAUCUCUUAUAUAUUAAAUUACUGUAGUAGGUUAUAGCUAAAAAUAUUUAAAUAUGGUUGGGUUAUAAGUAUAGAUAUUUGGCUAAUAAAUGACCUAGAAUCAUAACUGGAUUCUUUUUUGCCCUUGUUGCUUGAAGAAAUGAGUUCUAUGGUGACAUGUUUUGAAAAGUCUCUGGGAUCUAUUUUGUGACAAUAAGUAGGAUGAUUUAUAUAACGGUUCUAAUUUACCUUCCCAAUCACAUGCACCCCAAACACUAUGCACUUCAGUUUACAUGGCUCUCAAAUUAGUUAAUUAGCCUGAGUGUCUAUUUUGGGGCCAAGUAUUGUGCUAUUCACCAGGAAUUCAAACAUGAUUAAUACAUGAUCUUUGUCCUUCUGGAGUCCACAGUCAAGUGUGAAAAGAAAGCAGCUUAAAUGGGCUGGUACCAUGAGGGAAAACCUUCUGAACCUAACUCUUGUCUACUUCCAAUCUAAUAUACAUCUAAAUCAUGAAUGCCAAGAAUUCUACAAAUUUAAUCCUGGAAUCUCAUAUAUUUUCUGGAUUCUACUCUCAGUACAUAAUAUGUGUCACAGAGUGCUUCAUAUUCACAAAUACAAUUAUGAACAGUACAGUCAAGAUGGCCAGAAUGUGAUUCUUCAUAUACACUCAAGUAAAGAGUAAGUGGAAACAGAUAAAUUACAGAAACUAGCUGAACAUCCUAUUUACAAAACAAGGAAGCAGUACACAUAAAGUCAAGAUGCUCAAACAAUCUACUAUUAUCAUGACAAACAUCAUUAUCAUAUGAUAUCAUUAUAAGAUAUCAGACAUUCAACUUAGAUGACAUUGUAUGUGUAUGAAAAAAAUGUGUGUUGAAUAGUCAUUAAGAUAUUUCUCAUAGUUGGAAAAUAUUAUAUUCCAUGUUUGUUGUCAUUUGAAUAUACUAAUAUCAUAUUAAUAUCAUGCUUCUGAGAAAUCGAAAGCCAAUCACAAGUUGUAAAAGGCUUUACUUUGUUGUCACAUCAACUAUAUUGGACAUAAUACAGUUUUAGCUCUGGAAAAAUCUCUUCUCUAUGCCACAUAACCUUCAACUCUUCUUUCCUUCAACAAUUACUUCAUGAUUUUGAAAACAUAUUAACGCAAAAUACUGACACAGGAAAGUAAAUUAUUUAAUAUAUGGUAUUUAGUGAAAAUUAUUAUGAUUUUUGAUAAUUUAUAAGCAGUAUUUAUAAAGUUAUAAGCACUGUGUCUUUCAUUUUUAGAAGGAAAAGUAGUCCUUUGAUAUGUUGCCUUUUUAUAAGCUAUCUUACAUUUUCAUAACAAAAUAUUACUUUUUAAACUUUUAAAUUUUUUAAACUUUUAAAUUUUUUAAAUUUCUAUCUUGAAUAUUUAGUUCAUCUUUCUGGACUUAACUAACUCUCCUCCCUUUUUAAAGUUUUCCUCUUCUCUCUGGAACAUCUUCAAUUCUGCUUUUCCCUCCUUCUUAUCCACUCCCAUUCUUUUCUGUUUCCUUUAUAAUUUUACUGAGGAAAAAAAAAACAAAAAAACAAAAAAAAAACAAUGGCAAUGGGAAAUUUAAAAAAUAUAUACAGAAAUCUUCACACUCUAAAACUAUAGUAAUUGACUAUGAAACUACGCUCUGAAUUUUCAACCUCUUUUUUUUAAAUGAUUUGUCUCUAUUUUACAAAAUGCAAAAUAAAACAACUUCUCACCCUUUCGAAAGGGGAAAUGAACUUCCCGCUCUUUCAGUUGUUCAUCUGCAUCAUAAAGGUGUUUAUGUGUUUAUUAUAAACCAUAUUUAGACUCCAUUAUUGCCUUGCUUUACAAAAAGUAAUGUUUGUUAUUACUCACAUAAGAUCACCAGAAGCAAUUUCCCUUAAUUAGCAUGUCACAGACGUCAUAUUUUUGUUGAGUCAGUUCUACUUAGCUAUUGUGUGUGUGUGCAUGUUUGUGUGUUAACCCCUAGAUGUUAACAUGUGUUGAAAUAGGUAUCUUUCAAUACCUUGUUUAUACGGAUGGAUACCAACUAUUGUGCUUGCUAUAGUACCUUGUGUUCCUUUUAGUAUUCUUUUUUCUCAAAGACAUGAAAGAAUCCCUAAUAUGCCCAAAGAAUGCUCAGAUUGGUGUUAUUCAAAGAGACUUCCUUUAAACGUAUUUUUUUUUAAAUUUAAGGGCCAGGAGUUCCCGUCAUGGCUCAGUGGUUAACGAAUCCGACUAGGAACCAUGAGGUUGCGGGUUCGAUCCCUGCCCUUGCUCAGUGGGUUAAGGAUCCAGCGUUGCCGUGAGCUGUGGUGUAGGUUGCAGACGCGGCUCGGAUCCCACGUUGCUGUGGCUCUGGCGUAGGCUGGCGACUACAGCUCCGAUUAGACCCCUAGCCUGGGAACCUCCAUAUGUUGUGGGAGCGGACCAAGAAAUGGCAAAAAGACAAAAAAAAAAAAAA